Hevea brasiliensis (rubber tree) is the source of this 3003-nucleotide RNA transcript. It is a transcript of the gene named proline-rich receptor-like protein kinase PERK15, with no coding region annotated. NCBI's taxonomy places the organism in Eukaryota, Viridiplantae, Streptophyta, Magnoliopsida, Malpighiales, Euphorbiaceae. The record is from RefSeq and is a predicted model, not a curated record. The transcript is spliced from 17 exons.
UUUCCUAUGAAGAAUUAAAAUGCGCUCAGGACCUAGGGAAAGAGGAGGAUGAGAAAGGGGAAAUAAGAAAGAUGGGAAAGAAGGAAAUCGGAAAACAGGGGAGAGGAGGAAACCCAAAAAAAAAGGGCAACGCCGACCCCAAUGUAUCCCUGAUUCUUCCAACCAAGUUCUUUUCCUUUGGUCAUUUUCAUCGGCACAUAACCUCAUCACAUUGAAGAAGCUAACCUGCUGCCCCUUUUCACACAAGAAUUUGGAGUUGAGUGGAAAUUUUAAACCGUAGAUUUUGGACAGCGGUCUUGGUAUAGCAAAACUGGAGCGACUACUGCAAGUUUAAUUCGAUGGCCACUCAGGCACCUGACAGAUCAAAGGGUACAAUUGGGCUGAGGCAGUAUACUUAUGAAGAGCUAGCAAAAGCAACUGGCAAGUUUUCCAACCAGUUCCACCUUGGCGAGGGUGGUUUUGGUCAAGUCUUUUGGGCUUUCCUAGAUGAUGAAAUCCGUGCUAUUAAGAAACUAAGGUAUCUUCCUGAUGUACAGAAAGAAGAAUUGGAGCAUGAGAUCAGGGUCAUUAGCAGUGUCAGUCACAAAAAUCUUGUUAAACUGGUUGGAUACUGCAUUGACGGAGCCAAUGGAUUGCUUGUUUUAGAGUAUCUUCCCAAUGGGUCCUUGAAGUCUCAUUUACAUGGAAAAAACAUUUUAGAUUGGUCAAAAAGAAUCGGUAUCGCCAAAGGCUGUGCGCUUGGAUUAGAAUAUCUGCACAAACACUGCGAACCCCCAAUCAUACACCAAGAUAUCAAAUCAGAUAAUAUUCUUCUUAAUAAAAAUUUUAAACCAAAGCUUGCAGAUUUCGGACUUGCCUUGUACUUUCCGGAUAGUGUUACUCAUCUUUCUAGAACGAUUAAAGGAACUGAAGUUUAUAUGGAUCCAGAAUAUUCUGGAAAGAUCUCUGCUAAGUCAGAUGUCUACUCUUUCGGUGUGGUGCUUCUAGAGUUGAUUACGGGGAGAGAACCUUUACAUGAAGGCGUUAAAAUCGUUGAUUGGGCAAAGACUCGAAUUAUGCAGGCUUUGAAAGGAGAUUAUAAGGACUUUGUUGAUGUCAGAUUGCAAAAGUAUGAUAAAGGAGAAAUGGAAAAAGUAAUAUAUUGUGCCAAAGGUUGUGUAUAUAACCGUCCAGAGUUUCGUCCAUCAAUGAGAGAGAUUGUUCGAUUUCUUGAAGGAGCCAAGCUUGAAAAGAAUUUAUGGAUUGAGAAGAUUGAUAACGAAAUGCGACGCAGUACUGUAAAUGGAGAAGCUUCAUCGAGUGACAUUGAGAGGCUUGAAAUUCACAACCCGAUGAUAUUUACUUAUGAACAACUAACAAAGGCGACUGAAGGUUUCUCCAGAAAAAAUCUUCUUGGCAAGGGUAGUUUGGGUCAAGUUUAUAAGGGAUACCUAAUCAAUCAUGAGGUGACAGUCAAGAAAUUUUCACAUAUGCCUCGAAAGCAAGAAGAUGCGUUCGAGAAAAUGAAAGCCAUUUGUAGUAGCGUCCAUCACAACAAUCUUGUUAAGCUGAUUGGAUACUGCGAUGAAGGAGGCAAUAAACUACUUGUUUUUGAGUUCGUUUCAGAGGACAAAUCCUUGAGAUCUCAUUUACAUGCAGGAAAUGCGAGAUCAACAGUGGAUUGGCCAACCAGAAUGGAGAUCGCCUUAGGCAUUGCAAAAGGAUUGGUAGAUCUACAUGAACAAUAUAAACGUUGGAACGUAUACGAGCAUUUCAAGGAUGACAGUAUCUUUCUUGAUGGAAAUUUUCAAUUAAAGUUUGCAGAGUAUGGACGUGCCAAGUUUCUCUCAACAUAUGUUGGCUCUUUUUCCAUCUUCGACUACAGUUUUACGACUUCUACGUAUGCCAAGACCGAUGUUUAUUUCUUUGGUGAAAUUCUUAUGGAGCUAAUCACUGGAAAGCAACCUAAUGAUGACAUUGGCUUAGUUGAAUGGGCGGAACCUGUGCUCGGAGAUGGCUUGCUGCAUGGCAAGUAUUAUUUUGUUGACAAUAAAUUGCAGAACAAGUUUGAUGAAAAUAAAAUGAUUCGAAUGAUUACAUGUGCUUUAGCCUGUGUACGUCGUUUCCCUCAAGAGCGACCACAAAUGAGUCGGGUGGUGGAAGUUUUAGCAGGGAACAUUCCUCCGGAAUAUCUCUAGAGUGGAGAACAACAAUUUAUAAAAAAAUAAACUUUUGACGGCUAUGCCUGGGAAUAUUGGGCCAACGCAAUAUAAUGAUGAACAACUAUCAAAAGCAACUGGUCAUUUCUCCAACGACUACAUACUUGGCCAGGGUGGUUUUGGUCAAGUCUUUAAGGGUGCCCUACACGGUGAAAUCCUUGCUAUUAAGAAACCUCACUAUUUCCAGGAACAGACCAGAGAAGAAUUGGUCCAUGAGAUUGCAGUCAUAAGCAGUGUUCGUCACUGUAAUCUUGUUAAUCUGCUUGGCUACUGCAUUGAAGGAGCUAACGCAUUGCUUGUUUUAGAGUAUCGUCUCAAUAAAUCCUUGAGACUUCAUUUACAUGGAGGAGGAAAGGAGAUUUUGGAUUGGCCGACAAUAAGGAAAAUUGCCAUAGGCUCUGCAAAAGGAUUGGAAUAUCUGCGUGAGCACUGUGAGUAACCGAUCACUGCUUGAUAAUUUUAUAGGAUUUUAAUAGAGCUAUUGAUUCUUCUCACAAUAUUUAUAUGUCUUCAGCAUCUACUAAGAUUAUUCACCAAGAUAUCAAAUCAGAUAACAUUCUUCUCGAUAUCAAUUUUGAACCAAAGGUGAGAUGUAUAAUUUAAUUACAAACAAAAGUGUUACCUAUAUAAUUAGUUAUAUCCUAUAAUGAAAAAUUGGAGUUAGAUUUCAUAAUUGGAUGUAAUUCAUAAGUAACAUUUUUAUCAUUUUUUUUAUUUGAUGCCAAAUUAUAUUAUUUGUGGCACAAUAGAUCCACUAAUGUAUUUGGAUAAUUUUGUUUAGAUUACGGAUUUUGGACUUGCCUUA